Molecule: long non-coding RNA, 1093 nt
Filed under: Vombatus ursinus (common wombat)
Lineage: Eukaryota; Metazoa; Chordata; Mammalia; Diprotodontia; Vombatidae
Description: lncRNA (ENSVURG00010004336.1)
Source: RNAcentral
CAGAUUCCUUCUAUCUACUAUACACACACACAUAAACAUAUGCACACACGUGUAUCUAUUUAUUACUUGACAGCUUUCUUGACAAUGCAGCAAAAGGUAAAGAAAGUGAUAACAUCAAGGAGGAGAAAAAAACCCUCCAUGAAGAAUCAGUGAUUGUAAUGGAACCUGAGAAGGAAACUGAGACUUGUGCCACCCAAACAGAGGAAGCAUCUACACUACUAGUCUCUCAUAAAGCAGUACAGAUCCCUGAAGAGACCAGUCUAAAAGCCCAAGACCCAGGAAAUGAAUUACAAAGCCCAGAUCCCUUUUGGUUUUUUUCAAACAUGAGUGGUCUGAUAGAGAAGGAAGAACAGUAUAAGCAAAGGCAGGAAGAGAAAAAACAAUUCAAACUGGAAAAGAAGAAAUUGGAGAAGAUGGAAAAAAUCAAGGAAGAGGAGAAUGAAAAGAAACAGAAUGAAGGAAGAGUGAAGAAAGAAAGAGAGAAAGAAGAGAGAGCAAAGAAUGGGAGAGUAAUGGGAGAGAAAGAUACAGGAAAGAUUGAAAAGCAUAAAAAGGAAAAAGAAGAAAAAGCAAAGAAAGAAAAAAUGCAAGAGAAGAAAGAAAGUUUAAAGAAAGAAAAACACAAAGAAGAGGAAGAGAGGAUGAAAAAAGAAAAAAGCAAAGAAGAAAAAGAAGAAAAAAAGAAAAAUAUAGAAAACUCAGAAGAGGAAAGAGAAGACAAAAGGAAGAUGAUUGAGGCAGAGAGAAUAGCUUUGCAAAAGCGACUCCAGCUGAAGGGAAGAAUGAAAGGGAUGAAGAACAGUGAGGUGUGGUGGCCCAAGGAGAAAAAGUUGAUUGGGAAGAUAGCAAUUCAGAACUUUAUACAACUUUUGCCAAGUUCCUCUACCAUCCUCAAGAGCCCAGACAUAGAAGACCAUGUCAACAGGCCAAAGAAGAGACAUAUGGACCUUCAGGAACAUCUGAACCAGAAGAGAUAGACAGUACAGUCUUGACUCAGAAGAGAGAGAGAAAGUCACUCUUGAAGGGAGGUAAGAGGUUUUAUCUUUUUGUUGUUUUCCUGGAUGUUAGAUUUUGGUGGGACAAAGGAAUUCUU